GGCGAACGCUGGCGGCGUGCUUAACACAUGCAAGUCGAACGGAAAGGCCCUGCUUUUGUGGGGUGCUCGAGUGGCGAACGGGUGAGUAACACGUGAGUAACCUGCCCUUGACUUUGGGAUAACUUCAGGAAACUGGGGCUAAUCCCGGAUAGGAGCCCCUGCUCCAUGGUGGGGGUUGGAACGUUUCGGCGGUUGGGGAUGGACGCGCGGCUUAUCAGCUUGUUGGUGGGGUAGUGGCUUACCAAGGCUUUGACGGGUAGCCGGCCUGAGAGGGUGACCGGCCACAUUGGGACUGAGAUACGGCCCAGACUCCUACGGGAGGCAGCAGUGGGGAAUAUUGCACAAUGGGCGGAAGCCUGAUGCAGCAACGCCGCGUGCGGGAUGACGGCCUUCGGGUUGUAAACCGCUUUCGCCUGUGACGAAGCGUGAGUGACGGUAAUGGGUAAAGAAGCACCGGCUAACUACGUG
This 468-nucleotide ribosomal RNA is filed under the name uncultured bacterium. RNAcentral describes it as "partial 16S ribosomal RNA". It matches the Rfam family "Bacterial small subunit ribosomal RNA", at positions 28 to 507 of the family's 1533-position model. The record is from RNAcentral.